This 72-nucleotide transfer RNA is filed under the name Candidatus Levyibacteriota bacterium. RNAcentral's name for it is "tRNA-Lys". It matches the Rfam family "tRNA". From Rfam's summary of the family: Transfer RNA (tRNA) molecules are approximately 80 nucleotides in length. Lineage: Bacteria; Candidatus Levyibacteriota. The record is from RNAcentral.
GGGCCCGUAGCUCAACGGUAGAGCAGUAGCCUUUUAAGCUAUUGGUUGACAGUCCGAAUCUGUCCGGGCUCA